CUCGUAGGUCGGGGACGCUGAAGACCUCGGUGCGCUGGAGCUCCUGGUCUCCAUGGCGACUGAGACGCCGCUAACGGCCUGCGGCCCUUCCGCUUCCGGCCCCGCCCCUUCCGCCUUGCCUUUCUCUCGGAGUACGUCAUCGCUGUGGUCGUCUUAACCGUUCGCGUCUUCAGCCUCGUCUCUUUAAAAGUGAGCUUACUAAUGUAAGGACCCAGGAGAAAGGUUUAACUGACACAGCCAGGCCUGUCUGCAAAACCUGGCUGGAGCAGAUUUUAAACCAAGCUGGAGAAAUCACUCCAGCUCUGGCCACAACCUAAUCUCUACAUCCUGGCCUUCAUCCUGGCAGGAAGCUGGUUCACUUCAUCCAAGGGCCUAGUUCCAGGGCAUCCCUCGCUCCUGGCGCUGGCGGUGCCACUCAGCCAUGGACUGGACAUCCAUGGGGUCCCGAGAUUGUAUAAAUAGGAGCCAUGAACCACGACCUCAGUGAGGUCUGAAGACUCCAGAGCCUUCAGCUGGAGCAUGGCCUUGCUUCUCUGCUCGAUCCCCCACCAGUAAUUCCUGUUGACUCCACCUUCAAAAUGUAUCUGGAACCCUACC
This is a long non-coding RNA of Cebus imitator (Panamanian white-faced capuchin), 597 nucleotides long. RefSeq lists it as uncharacterized. NCBI's taxonomy places the organism in Eukaryota, Metazoa, Chordata, Mammalia, Primates, Cebidae. The transcript has 3 exons. The record is from RefSeq and is a predicted model, not a curated record.